This 301-nucleotide ribosomal RNA is filed under the name uncultured bacterium. RNAcentral's name for it is "partial 16S ribosomal RNA". It matches the Rfam family "Bacterial small subunit ribosomal RNA", at positions 509 to 807 of the family's 1533-position model. The record is from RNAcentral.
CAGUCGCCGCGGUAAUACGAAGGGUGCAAGCGUUAAUCGGAAUUACUGGGCGUAAAGCGUGCGUAGGCGGUUUGUUAAGUCUGCUGUGAAAUCCCCGGGCUCAACCUGGGAAUGGCAGUGGAUACUGGCAAGCUAGAGUGUGUCAGAGGAUGGUGGAAUUCCCGGUGUAGCGGUGAAAUGCGUAGAGAUCGGAAGGAACAUCUGUGGCGAAGGCGACUAUCUGGACCAUUACUGACGCUGAGGCGCGAAAGCUAGGGGAGCAAACAGGAUUAGAUACCCCAGUAGUCCCUGUCUCUUAUAC